This 375-nucleotide ribosomal RNA is filed under the name uncultured organism. RNAcentral describes it as "partial 16S ribosomal RNA". It matches the Rfam family "Bacterial small subunit ribosomal RNA", at positions 527 to 896 of the family's 1533-position model. The record is from RNAcentral.
GUAGGUGGCAAGCGUUGUCCGGAAUUAUUGGGCGUAAAGCGCGCGCAGGCGGUUCUUUAAGUCUGAUGUGAAAGCCCACGGCUCAACCGUGGAGGGUCAUUGGAAACUGGAGAACUUGAGUACAGAAGAGGAAAGCGGAAUUCCACGUGUAGCGGUGAAAUGCGUAGAGAUGCGGAGGAACACCAGUGGCGAAGGCGGCUUUCUGGUCUGUAACUGACGCUGAGGCGCGAAAGCGUGGGGAGCAAACAGGAUUAGAUACCCUGGUAGUCCACGCCGUAAACGAUGAGUGCUAAGUGUUAGGGGGGGUUUUCCGCCCCCCUUAGUGCUGCAGCUAACGCAUUAAGCACUCCGCCUGGGAGUACGGCCGCAAGGCUG